RNAcentral lists this small RNA (79 nucleotides) under Salmonella enterica subsp. enterica serovar Manhattan. RNAcentral describes it as "partial RtT sRNA". It matches the Rfam family "RtT RNA", at positions 52 to 130 of the family's 130-position model. Rfam says of the family: This family represents a bacterial cis-regulatory element known as RtT RNA. The exact function of RtT is unknown although it is thought that it may be involved in changing the cellular response in relation to amino acid starvation. Lineage: Bacteria; Pseudomonadati; Pseudomonadota; Gammaproteobacteria; Enterobacterales; Enterobacteriaceae. The record is from RNAcentral.
GCGAAGCGAGAGAACGUUGCGCCAGCAACGGCCCGCAGGGCGAGCCACGCAGUGGCGAGUCAUCCUCUAUCACCGGCAG